Non-coding RNA from Triticum aestivum (bread wheat), 125 nucleotides. The record is from Rfam. NCBI's taxonomy places the organism in Eukaryota, Viridiplantae, Streptophyta, Magnoliopsida, Poales, Poaceae.
ACAAUACUCCCUCCAUCCCGAAUUAUUUACCUCAGAAAUGUAUAAAAUUGAUGUAUCUAAAACUAAAAAUAUGUCUAGAUACAACCAUUUCUGCGACAAGUAAUUUGGGAUGGAGGGAGUAGUAU